Actinobacteria bacterium RBG_19FT_COMBO_36_27 is the source of this 86-nucleotide non-coding RNA. The record is from Rfam. NCBI's taxonomy places the organism in Bacteria, Bacillati, Actinomycetota.
UUAGAUAAUAGAGGCUAAGACUUACAUUUCAUUAAUUGGGCAUCUCGAAAUGUAAAGAGCCAGUGAUGCAACCGGCUAUUAUUUUG